Molecule: long non-coding RNA, 924 nt
Filed under: Oncorhynchus kisutch (coho salmon)
Lineage: Eukaryota; Metazoa; Chordata; Actinopteri; Salmoniformes; Salmonidae
Description: lncRNA (ENSOKIG00005037643.1)
Source: RNAcentral
CCUCACACUAUACAAUGCAGAAAGGAUUGGCAUUACAAUGAAGAUAUGACAUUGGACAAUGUUUUUGUUUUACGCCUACUUCGAUAAUUUGUGCAUUGAAUAUGGACAUGGUUCAACCAGACCCUGGGAUUUGUACUGAGAUGGGAGUAGGGACCCCUUCUCAGCAGAGCCAGUACGGAAAUCCUUAUGCCAACACGUCAGACCAACAGUUCCACAGUGAUGAGGAUGGCCUGAACUACACUGCCCUGAAGUUCACUGACAAGAAGAGUACCAAGCCCAGGAGACAGAGGAGAAAACAGAGAGAGGAAGAAACCAUCUACUCUGGUGUGUCAGAUAGACAGGAUGUGGCAGUCCUCCAUUCAGUAUCACAGGCGGCCGGUGGCACUUUAAUUGGGGAAGGCGGGCUCAUAGUAAUGGCUAGAACUGAAUAAAUGGAAUGCUAUUGAACGCAUCAAACAUAUGGAUACCAUUGCAUUCACUCCAUUCCAGCCAUUGUUAUUAGCUGACCUCCCCUAAGCAGCCUCCUGUGAUCAGCAUAAUUCUAAGUUAAGCCCCACCCCUCCUCUGAAUUCCACUUUGAUCUUGACUGUGUCCGUGUGACCUGGCUAUUUUGUACACUUCCGGUUUGCUGCCAUUGCAGGGGCCUAGCUUCACCAUAAUUUUCCCCAAAGUAUGAAAGCUGAUACUAGGAUGGUUUCAGAAGUCUCAAAUCCUCACCAAUAGUGGCUGAGGUUGACUGACUGGAUACAUUUGGUUUUGUAGAAGUGUACCACAAAAUAUAUAUUUUGAUUUUCAAAUGUCUGAACUCUUCCUUUUCGUGAUAAUACUUGUAACAUGGAGCUCUGUAACCUGCCCUUAUACUUGUGUGAUAUUUCAAUAAACAUGUUUUUAUUUACUACUUUUAAUGACUUGCCUAAUUCUUAU